RNAcentral lists this long non-coding RNA (5359 nucleotides) under Sus scrofa (pig). RNAcentral's name for it is "lncRNA (ENSSSCG00000060029.1)". The record is from RNAcentral. Lineage: Eukaryota; Metazoa; Chordata; Mammalia; Artiodactyla; Suidae.
GCCACACUGACCUCCCCACUCACCCCUGGAAUCUCAAAAACACUAAGAGAUUCUCACCCAGCGAACCACCCACUUAUUUUAAUAAUAGCAGCUGCCUUUUGUUGAGCACUUAUUGUGUGCAGGGCUCUGUGCUGAGUACUCUAUAUUUAUUACCUUCCUCGAAAGCCUUGCAACAACCUGGUGAAGGAGAUAAUUCCUCAUGAGGAACAUUAGGCACAGGGGUGAGUGGCAGGAGGGGGACACAAACCUACACUUGCCUGACCCCAACCCCAAGGUCAGAAGCUGUCCCUCCCAUGCUCUGUUGGGCACUUCUGUGCUUGCUGUGCAGCUAGACUGCAAACUGCUGGGGGCCAAUGUUGGCUCUCAGGCUGUUUAUAUUCUUCAGACAGAAUUUUCCUGAAUUAACCAUGCUUGCCUUCUCAGAGCUAAGAGGGCUUUCUCUGGACCUUUCUCCCCAGCUCUUGGACCCCCAGCCCUUGAAAUAGUAUGUCUUCCUCCUUCUCCUCCCUUCUCCCAAGUGAAGCCAGUCCUCCCUGAGCUCCGGAUAUUCACCCCACCCACCCCCACUCUGUAGCAUUUACCCAAAAGGCCUUGCUUUUGAGCUCUCAGUUGUCUCUCCCCUCCCAUGAGUUGCUUCAGGGCUGUGAGCUCCUGGCUGGCUUCUCCCCAUCUGCCUCCCACACAAGAGUACAUAGUAGGCUCAGUGAAUUCAAGGGGAGCUGAUUGAUAGCACUCAGAUUCUAUAUUUCUGUGACCAUAAACCAAGGACUGUCUUUUUUUUCUUGUCUAAAUGACAUUCAUUUUUUUAAAUUUUUAAAUUAAAGUACAGUUGAUUUGCAGUGUUACAUUAGUUUCAGGUGGACAAUAUAAUGAUCCAAUAUUUUUAUAGCUUGUACUCCAUUUAAAGUUUUAUAAAAUAUUGGCUAUAUUCCCUCUGCUGUACUAUGUAUCCUUGGUGCAAUUAUUUUAUGCACGGUAGUUUGCACCUCGUAGUUCCCUCCCCCUAUUUUGCCCCCUCGCAGUCCUCUCCCCAAUGGAAACCACUGGUUUGUUCCCUAUAACUGUGAGUCUGUUUCUGUUUUGUUACCUUCAUUUGUUUGUUUUAGAUUUUAGAUUCCACAUUUAAGUAAUAACAAACAGUAUUUGUCUUUGAUUUCACUAAGCAUAAUACCCUCCGGGUCCAUCCAUGUUGUUGCAAAUGGCAAAAUUUCAUUCCUUUUUAUGGCUGAGUAAUUAAUAUUCCAUCAUAAUUUUAUCUAUAUGUAUAUCUAGCACAUCUUCUUUGUCCAUUCACCUGCCGAUGGACACUUGGGUUGUGUCCACAUUUGGCUAUUGUAAACAAUGCUGCUAUGAACCUUGGGGUGCCUGUAUCUUUCUGAAUUAUUAGUUUCAUUUUCUUCAGAUAUAUACCUGGGAGUGGGAUUGCUGGAUCAUAUGAUAGCUCUAUUUAUAUUUUUUUUGAGGAACCUCCAUACUGUUUUACAUAGUGACUACAGCAAUUUACAUUCCCACCAACAGUGUAUGAGGGUUCCCUUUUCUCCACAUUAUUACCCACAUGUAUUAUUUGUUGUCUUCUUAGCAUUCUUUUUUAUUUAAUUUCCUGAGCACCUACUGUGUGCCAGGGACUGGCUCAGGUGUUAGGAAUUCAGUGGUAAACAAGGUAAAUGGGUUCCCUGCUGCCAUGGACCUUCCUUCUAGUGGGGAAGACAGGUAAUACUCAAAUAAACAUAGCAAAGCCAGCCUUUGUUGUAGGGGCUGGGGAGAAGGGAGAGCAAUUAUAGCUGGAGGCCAGGAAGGCCUUUCUGAGGCGGCAUCAUUUUAACUGAUGAUAGAAUGAUCAAAAAGAGCCAUCCAUGUAUGAAUCACAGAAAGAAUGUUCCAGGUCCUCGGGCCAAGACCAGUGUGGUCUGUUUGAGGAUUCAUGAAUACUACUAUGGCUGGAACUUAAUAGGUGAGAGAGAGAGAGGGUAGGAGAGAACUUGGUCAGAAGUCCAAAAUGGGUCUUACUAGGUGAAAAGCAAGGUGUCAGUUGGAAUGCAUUCCUUCUGGAGGCUCCAGGAGAGAAGCCAUUUCCUUACCCUUUUCAGCUGCUAGAGGCUGUCUCAUUCCUUGACUUGAGGUUCUCUUUCUCCAUCUUCAAAGCCAGCAAAGGUGGGUUGAGACCUUCUUACACUCAGUGGCCUUGCAGAGACCAUUAUUUUUUCAUAUAUUCAUUUUACCUGUAGAAUGUAAGCUCCUUGAGGGAAGGAGACUUUUGUUUGGUUUGCUACAUCCUGAGUGCCCAGAAAGGGUCCGGCCAUGGUAGCUACAAAAACAUCGAUUGCAACCCACAGUUAAUCUGGGCUAGGCUCUGUCCUGGCAUCCAGGGCUGCAGAAAAGACCCAAAUUACUGUUUGCCCUCUGAGGUCACAGGGAAGAAAGACAGACCUUCGGGUUCACAGGAGACUUCACCAUAUGCAGCCAAAGAAAGUAGGGGGCCCUCAGCAGGGGGCUGGGUCUGCUCAUUGGAAGGGUGCAAAUGAAACUUAGUGAGGUGAAUGUUGCUGAGUUCCUGGUAGGGCAGGAAGCUGUGGGUCUGUGGGGAAUGGAGAGGUACCAUUAGGCAGAAGUUGGGAGCCCAGGCUCUGGAGCCCAACUGCCUCCACCACUCACUAGUUACCUGAUGUUGCACCAGUUAUUUACUCUUUAGAGAAGUACUGCCUCCAAAACCUGCAGUAGACAGAUUCUGAUCUAGCAUGUCUAGGCUGGCUAGAAGCCAGUGUAGUUUUCUUUUCUCUCUUUCUUUUUCUUUCUUUCUUUCUUUCCUUCCUUCCUUCCUUCUUUCCUUUUAUAAGCAUCUCCUGACUUAUUAUAGAUGGGCCAUACACCAUGUCUUGCAAAACAUUCAUUUUGCAGGGAGAGAAGAGCAUGCUGAUCAGCAAACUGGAGUGUCAGGCUUGGAUCUCAGUGAAUUUUCAGCGUGAGAUCAUAAAUUGUCAUUCAGGGUUAGACGUUUAGGCAUACCACCCCGUAGGUGCCAUGGACAAGGCUCAGUACAGCAGCCAAGAAUAAUAUCCAACAGGUCCUAUCUCCCCAGGUCAAACCAGGAUAGUCCCCAAGGCAGGUAGUGAGACACUGCAAAUGUUUGUUGAUAGACUGAUGGGUUUUCUGGCUAAGCUCCUCCUGGCUAGCCCCAAGCCCACACAGAGGUUCUGGGUUGAUCACGUGAACCCCAGGAAGGGCCAGGUUAACAUGGGGAUCCUGGAAGCGGUGCCCAGCUCUGGUAUCUCCAUGGCUUGACUUGAACCAAGACUUCACAGCCAGGAGCUCUGAGAAGCUGGAUAUAAAUAAGGCCAUGGAAAUGUGACAGAACCUCUCUUAGCCCUAGUUUAAAUACAUGGCCAGAGUACUACCAGAGCAUUCUUCAUGUAUUCACUCCACAAAUAUUUAAGUACCUGUCUUGUUCCAUGUUAGGCUAGGGACACAGUGGGGAAACAGGUGUCUGUAUUCAGUGACCUUAUAUUCCACAGUUGAGUCAGAUUAUAAACAAAUAAAAUAUAUACAUUAAUAUAAAUGACAGGGAGAUCAUAAAGGAGAGUAAUUGGAUGGAGGGUGAUCAGAGGAGGCUUCUUUGAGGACACGAUAUUUAUCCUAAACCCGGAUGACAAGGAGCCAGCCCUAUAAGAUCUAAGGGAAUCAUAUUCCAAGUGUGGGGGCACAGCUUGAACCAAGGCGCUGAGGUAGGAAAGCAGUUCGAAUGCCUCCACGUUGCCCAGGUCACAUAUUUGUCAAAUGUCAGAACAGGAAUUUGAAUCCAGGGCAAAUGCUAUAGCCUAGAACUCAUAAUGGCUAAAUGGCUUUGUUGAUUUUGACGUGGUUUGGCGCUCCUCCCCCAUUCCUACUUGUCUAAAGCCGGAACUCUUGGGCCCUAAGGCCCCACCUCUCUUUAAUCCAUUAACACGUUCACUGGGCUUGCUGGGCCCUGGUCCCCACCCUCAGGGCUGACCCCCUGGCACAGAACUUGUGUGGGAUUCCUGAGGACUACAGUCUAGGGGUGGUGAGCCAGAUCAGCCGGGCUGGAACCCAUCCUUCCAGGUAACUUUUUCUAGAGGGAAGAGCUCCUGGCCCAGAACUGUGUUCUGUUCCCAGCUGCCUACAGCCUGCCCCCUCCACGGCCCAGACGUCCGCUUGACUCAGCCCGAGGCCUGUGUGGGGGCGUCCUCUGGGCUUCCGCAACAUCCUGUGUUCUGCCUUCUGCUACCUAUUUUCCAUUUCCAGGGAAUCCCUCCCACCAGGGUUUGUUUUUACACCCUGGAGCCAACCAGCCCACAGAACAAUUAAAAUGGCUCCCCUGGGAUCACCCGGAGCCAUUCCUACAUUCCACAGUCAGCCUCGGGCCUCUGGGGUCUGGCUGGAGCCCACCUCCUUCCUUAAGGCCUUGGGUUCUGCUCCUUCUUCAGCCUACAUGUUAGGACCUUCUCUGCCAAAGAGCCUCACUCUGGUCCCCACACCCGGAACUCUUAUUCCGUUGCUGUCUGAGCCCUGGGAGUGGACAUCUGUCAUGUUUGUCUGUCUUGUCAUCCCUUCCGCUGCUUCCUCUGAUGAUAGGCCUCCCUUUCCUCCGCCUAACCAACCCUCCUCCGCUUCGGGCGACUUGAUGGGGCCUCUAAUCACAGAAGAGUCUUUCUCCUGGCUGCCCCUGAUUGGCCCACAUAUGAGCAUGUGACCCAAACCAGGCCAAUUGGAAUUGUUGCCUGGGAUUUUGUGUAUGGAAAGUAGGGAGUAAAACCUCUCACGCCUUGGAGUUUGUCAAACCAACCUGAUGCAAACCCGUCUGGCAGUAUCUGCUUUCCUUCUUCUCCUCCCCUUACCAGUUGGAAUCUCCCCAAGCUACCCAGCCAUAGUGGAAGAAAAUGAGGCCAACACACAGAGAGAAGCAGAGAGAGUGAGGAAGUGAGUUGCUCAUUAUUUGAGUUUUUAGACUAAAGUUCCUGGUCCUGGCCCCACCUUAAUUAAUGAGCCGGAUUUACUUACUUAUUAUUUACUUACUACUUGCUUUUGCUUGAACUAGUUUGAAUUUGGUUUCGGUCGCUUGCAAUAAGCAAACAAGUAGUCAUUCUUAAGGUUCUGUCUUGUACUAUGACAUAAAAAAAUGCCCCCUUUUUGGGGGGGGUCUGUUUGUGCUUCUAUUUUCUGAUAUAAAUGGCAAUCUCCUUCAAAGUAGAAGUUAUUUGCUUAAAAAUGUUCAUUAUGGGAGUUCCCAUCGUGGCUCUGUGGGUUAAGAAUCUGACUAGUAUCCAUGAGGAUGAGGGUUUGAUCCCUGGCCUUGCUCCUCAGUGGUUUAAGUAUCUGGUGUUGCCAUGGCUGUGGUGUAGGCUGG